Molecule: ribosomal RNA, 497 nt
Filed under: uncultured bacterium
Lineage: Bacteria
Description: partial 16S ribosomal RNA
Rfam family: Bacterial small subunit ribosomal RNA
Source: RNAcentral
GAUGAACGCUGGCGGCGUGCCUAAUACAUGCAAGUCGAGCGAACGGACGAGAAGCUUGCUUCUCUGAUGUUAGCGGCGGACGGGUGAGUAACACGUGGAUAACCUACCUAUAAGACUGGGAUAACUUCGGGAAACCGGAGCUAAUACCGGAUAAUAUUUUGAACCGCAUGGUUCAAGAGUGAAAGACGGUCUUGCUGUCACUUAGAGAUGGAUUCGCGCUGCAUUAGCUAGUUGUUAAGGUAACGGCUUACCAAGGCAACGAUGCAUAGCCGACCUGAGAGGGGGAUCGGCCGCACUGGAACUGAGACACGGUCCCGACUCCUACGGGAGGCAGCAGUAGGGAAUCUUCCGCAAUGGGCGAAAGCAUGACGGAGCAACGCCGCGUGAGUGAUGAUGGUCUUCGGAUCGUAAAACUCUGUUAUUAGGGAAGAACAUAUGUGUAAGUAACUGUGCACAUCUUGACGGUACCUAAUCAGAAAGCCACGGCUAACUACGUG